Molecule: ribosomal RNA, 301 nt
Filed under: uncultured bacterium
Lineage: Bacteria
Description: partial 16S ribosomal RNA
Rfam family: Bacterial small subunit ribosomal RNA
Source: RNAcentral
CAGUCGCCGCGGUAAGACAGAGGAUGCAAGCGUUGUUCGGAAUUACUGGGCGUAAAGCGCACGUAGGCGGUUAUUCAAGUCAGAGGUGAAAGCCCGGGGCUCAACCCCGGAACUGCCUUUGAAACUAGAUGACUGGAAUCUUGGAGAGGUCAGUGGAAUUCCGAGUGUAGAGGUGAAAUUCGUAGAUAUUCGGAAGAACACCAGUGGCGAAGGCGACUGACUGGACAAGUAUUGACGCUGAGGUGCGAAAGCGUGGGGAGCAAACAGGAUUAGAUACCCCAGUAGUCCCUGUCUCUUAUAC